GCCAUUUCAAGGGUUGGGGAUUGGGGGCAGUGAGUAGGAUUUUGAAAUAUUUUUGUCUAGCUUCUAGGGAAAGUCCGGUUCUGGAGAUCCAAUAAGUUGUGUCUGGUCUGGUGGGGAGAGCACAGACCUCUAAAGCCGAGGUGGCCACUGAGGGAGGGCAUGAAGAGCUUUCCUCCUCUACCACGUUUAGGAACUGUGAUCUCUGAGUCAUUCUCUCCUCCUACUUCUGUGUCGGUCCAUCGUAUGGAGGGUCCUUAUUUAUUAUGUAGAUGCACUUAUCAGUAUAGUCAAUGUCCUCACUUAAUUAGAUUUUGAUUACAGAAGAGCUUAAGAUGGACAUCUUCCUCACACUGAUCUUAAAGCUCAAUGGAUGAGAAAAGACGACAGGAAGUAGUAUUCCAGCCAUCUGAGUACCUUACUGUACACAGAAAUGGGUUGGCAUAUCAUAAAUAUGUAUUUGGAUAAAUUAAUAUUUUCUGUCUUGGAGUUUCUGAUUUUUUUUAACCCUGUCUAAUAAAAAUUUUUCCCCACCAUGUAGGGUCCAAACCCAGGGCUUUGUACAGCGCCCCGACAUUAAUCUGUAGCCUCAGCCCACUGUUUUGCUUUUUAAUUUAAGACAGAUUCUCAGUACAUUGCCCAGAGUGGACUUGAGCUCACUCUACAGUACAGGCAGGAUGUCAGGUUAUGAUGUUACAGGCCAGGCAUAUAUCUUAUAAGCUCUGAGUUCAGGUAUUUGAAAUAAUGUUUAUAGCUAGCCUGUAGAGUUACUGGGAUUAAGUAGUACAGUGCAUAUGCACACAUGUGUGUUUGUGUGUGCAUGUGAGAACUGAUAAUAGGUGUUGAAUAAACUGAAUAUAGGCCAUAUGCCUGGAGAUUUUCCUAGGGUGUGAAUGCCCAUGAGUUUCAAAGAAACAUAAUCUCUACUCUGGUUAAGGUAUGUGUGACUGCAGCUGCUGUCUGUUCCCUGUGCUCCCUGUCAUCUCUGAGGCCUGAUUUUAGGGUGACAGUGCUUAGUUGCUCACAGUCAGUCCCCUGGGCCUUCCAGCUUGUGUCUAAUACUGCCUUUUGGAUACUGUCCACUUCCUGCUAGUUGAAGUUUUAUUAUUGGUGAUGGUGGUGGUGGUUUUAUUAUUUGCUUAUUGAAACAAGGUUUCACUCAGUAGCCCAGGCUGGUCUCAAACUCAAAUGAAUCAUCCCAUCUCAGCCUGCCAUGCACAAGAACUUAUCAUCGGCAUGCGCUGCCACCCCCACCACCCCCUACUGUGUUUGUUUCCCUGGGACAGUCUCACUCUGCCAACAAGGCUGACCUGGAAUUUGGUGUCCUCCUGCUUUAGUUUUUCUAAGUGCCAGGAUUACAAGCAUGCACCACCACACCUGUCCCCUGAGUGACUUUCUCAGGGACUUCUACAGAGUAUAGGCUGUAAGGAAAACCUGUACCUUCUUGUGCUUUCCUGAGACGAUGCAGGUGUUUACAGACCUCCAUCAGAAGGGAAGCUGAAUCUUUCUGUUUUCCUCCUUUUAUAUUUCUUUGACAAAGAGGAACUUGGGGAUCCAGUAAGCUAGAACCUGGGGGGCUCCUCAAAACAGGAUCCAUACUUUCCUUCCAUCUCUCUAACCCUCUCAUAUAGCUAUGACAAAUAGCCUUCUCUAAGAAGCCAGCCUGUUGCCAGAAGACCAUUCGCAGAUGCCUCUCAACCUCAUAGGAUUUUGUCACCUAUGGGAGGCUCCUGCAGAUUAAUAAUGGGAAUAAAGAUACGGGAGUGAAUCUAGAUUCUAGUUAGAAACCAAUAUGAAAUAAGUUUGAGUAGACUGGCGUUGGGGAGCAUUGUGCUUAAAACCCUUCUUACGCAGGAGCUGAGAGGAGACUCUCAUGAGCCUGGACAUUUGAAGCUGGCAUGGCUGGGGAGGGGAGUGGUAGUAGUAAGGAAAAUAGAGCACCCCUUUAUCCUUUUAUUUUUGCUUGGAUUGAUAACAUGCUUAGUGUAGAUAGAACUCUUUAAAUCAUAGCUCAUAAGGAGCCUUAUAGGAGCUUGAGAGUUUUGACACUAACGUGAUUUUGUUAGCCUCCGUUUAUACAAUUCUAGAGGCAGAUAUGACUUAGUUUUUAAUUAAUUUUUCUCACUUUUUAUUGGUUAAGUUUGUUGUUUGACUAGCACCUAAUUUCAAUAUUCUCUGUCUAGGUUAAAUGGUUUAAAGGCCUUGAGGUCUUUGUACCAGGUAGAAAAUGAUGGAAUAGUUUCUAUUUUCUGACUUACAGCCUAUCGAUGUCCUGUUGCCUCUUUUGUACAGAAUUACAGAGGACUUAAGAUAGGUUUUGCCUUUUAAAGGGUGUUUUACUUGUGUGUGUGUGUAUGCCUGAGUGAGUUUAUAUGCAUCAUGAAGGCUGGAGCCUAAAGAUGCCAGAAGUUGGUGUCAAUUGUGAGUUGACAUGUGGGUACUGGGAACUGAACACGGAUCCUCUGCAAGAGCAGUAGGUGCUUUUAACUGCUGAGCUAUCUUUCCAGCCCGGGUUUUGCAUUUUAAUGUCCGAUAAGACAUGGGACUGAGCCCAGUGUGCAUGCUAAUGCUGCUCCUGCAUUGCAUUCAUGUGUUGGAGUACAGUUGCUCCUCAGUCUAGAGUAGGUUAGAAUAAAGAGGACCUGAGAGUGGGGACCUGGGUGACUUCAGUAUUUGACUGUGACUGGCCACAAGGUUUACAGAGUGACCUGAAAAGAGGAGGGACAUUUAGAGAAAUAAGAAGGGGCGGGAAAGAUGUGGAAGAAGCCACAGGCUCCAGCCUACAUUUGUUUGUUUGUUUGAUGUUAUGUGUGUCUGUGCAUUGUUUGCAUAUUAUGUAUUCGUUCCAUGUGCAAGCCUGUUGCCUGGGGAGUUCAAAUAGAGUGUCAGAUCCCCUGGAGCUGGAGUUAGAGAUGGUUGUGAGUCACCCUGUGGGUGCUUUGGAAAGGAGCCAGUGCUAGCCAUCACUCCAGCCCCAAGCUCUCAGUCUUUAUGGCUCUACAUAAACAAAAGCUAAGAUGAAGACUGGGAACUAGCGGGACACUUUGUCAGUGCGGGCUUGUCAUUUAGCACCAAUGGAACCCUUCUCAUUUUCUUGCUUCUUUCCCACUUCCAAUUCCUUUCUUUAAAAAAAAAAAUGUUUACAAUACCAUAUUAUCAAUUAUGUCUAAUAAUGGGCUUCAUUACAUCAUUCCAUACAUAUGUAUAAUGCAUUUUUAUCACAUCCACCAUCACCUUCUCCAGUCCUCCCCUCCCCCUCCCCCUCCCUUCAUCUUCCCAGCUCAUCCCCCCCAAUCCCCAACCCCCGUCUACUCUCACCUCUCAUGUCUUCUUCUUCCUCCUCUUCUCCUAACAACACAUUGGAUUUCACCAGAGUUGUCACAUAAACAUGGGUGACAGGUCAUUUACAGGAGCAUGGAUACCUUGCCAGUGGGUACCCACCCUGGGGGGGUCUCUGACCCCUCCUACCCACCCCCCAAAUCAUUAACUGCCUAUAGACCCUCAGGGAGGGUUGGGCCUCAUAAGCCCUUCCCCCAUCCCAAUUUUUCUUAUACUCUAGCUUGACAGCACACCAUUGUGUAACCCAGCCUAGCUUCAGAUUUUCAACCCUAAUUCCUCCACACCCCCUUUUGUUUUCUCAUCUUCUCUCUCUGCUCCAUUUCCAGAAAUCUCUCCAAGUCCCAGAGUGCAGAGCAGCUCAGGUGACUGGGGACUAGAAGAGAGCCCCUGUUCUCUAAGCUUGCCCCACCCAGCUCGGGGCCCCCUGAAGAAGAAACAUGUGUUGAGUCUGGGGUAGGGUUCCCCUUGCCUUAAGGAUAGCAAAAAUGUUCUCCGUGUCGCUAUUCCCUGGUGUGGAGGGAGGACGCUGGGUAAGACUCCUUGUGACUAGAUAGAAGUUUGUUUUCUUUUUCCCACAUCGGAGCUUCCCAUACGCCCCCUCUGUCAGAGUACCAUAGUUAGGGGAAACACUGUUUUCCAGGGAGCAGAUGGGUUGGGAAGUGGGAGGAACUUCCGGGCACAGAGAAGAGAGGUCAGAAAAGGGAGCAUUAAAUAAACUUUGAAUGACUGACACGAGGCUUUUUUCAGAUGGCUAGAGACAAUUUCUAUUGCAUUUGGAUAUAGAUAAAUUCUGCUUGGAUCUUCCAUCUCCUGUUCCACGUCUAGCUUCCACAUUGUCCCUCCCCACAUAAGAUGAUGAACACAGCAGUUAAGAUCAUCUGAUAGGCCUUCCAGCGACAUGCAACAGCUAAUACCUACUCUGUAGAUGACCUCACAUUGGUGACCAUGACAGUAGGCACCGUCCCUCCUCUCACAGAGCUUACAGGCCAAUAGAAGUUACACACAAAUGAAAAAUAAUUCUAAAAUACUGCCGCUGUGCUGUGUGGGGGAAACAAUAGUGUUGAGGGAGCAUAGAGCACAGGAGCUAAGAUGAAGGACUGAAGGAGAAGAAAGGGGCUUGGGAGCUUGUGUUAGACCCGUUUCUCUGUGUUAUCUAAGACUUGCCAGGGAUACUCCAGCUUGGCCUUGCUAUAUGGUGACUGCAUCCCUUCCAGAGUGCUCCUAGUUUACAAAGCAAGCAUCUUUGCCUUCCCUAACUACUGGGUAGCUGUUGGGUUUAGGGAGAUGAGACUCUUCUGAGAAUAGCCAGAGGGAAAAGAAUCUGUUUGAAGACAGACCAAACAUGAUUAUGAUUAUGAUUUAGAGGUCAUUAAUGUCAAGAUUUAGAUUGACAGCUCCUGUCACCUUAAGACCUCUGGGGUUUUCCUGUGUACUACCUAGAAAUGGCCAUCUUCCCAUUAUCUGGAACUUACUGGGGUUGGGCUUUUCUUCCACCUCUUCCGCCACCAUCCCCGGAAAAGUGCAGGGGAUCUAACUGGAGGUCUGCCGAUGCUAGACAAGCGCCCAUCACUAAGCUCUCACCUCGGACCUGAAACCUCUAAUAGCGUUAUCAGUCUGGACAAAAAUUGAUUGAUACACACCCAGUAAAUAUUCACUUGUGGCACAUCUGAAUUGCUGUUAGUCCUUCAAACACUGAAACUAUUUCCAUAAUAAGAUACGCAGGCCUAGAAAUGGACAAAGUAAAAUAAAAAGUUCUAGCAUUUUCUCCCUGCUCUCCAACAGGUAGAAGCAUAAACACACACACACACACAGAGAGAGAGAGAGAGAGAGAGAGAGAGAGAGAGAGAGAGAGAGAGAGAGAGCACCGUUUCAGGGAAGGUUAGUGAAGGGAAGCGCAGAGCUGGUGAGUGAAUACAAUGGGAAGACAGGCACCUGGCUAGUUUGGUUUUCUUUCUUCUCUAGUAUUCAUAAUCCACUCUGGAAUACCAGUUUGGCAGAGCUCAUGGAUCUGAAAGGUGCAGCUUUUCAUCCUGGCCUCUGCCCCUUGCCUUCUCCUUGGACUCCUGCCCCACCUCUCUUAGGACUGCCAAGUUCCUUCCUAGCAUCUUCUCUGGGCCUGGCUGCAGAGACUAGCGUUCUGUAGUCCACUGAGCCGCCACACCUCCAGUAAAUCUGCUAGUGCUUGUGUAAGGUCUCACCCUGGAGAAACACCUUGGAGGGAGGGAAAGGGAUACAUGUGCACAGCCUGAUUCAAACAUCUGGAACGAGGCUGCUGGCCUGGGUGUGAGCGGUGUGGGCCAGGCCAGCGGCUUCAUUAGAGAAAUUCUUAAUGCUCUGUGGAGGAGUGAGAGGGGUUCCUGCUAACAUUUGGAGGUAGAGGAUGGGAGGAAUGGGGAAAAUGGGGGUGAAUGAGGUGUAAGUGCCCUCCCUCACCCCAAAAGGGAACGCCUCUAGCACCCUUGAAUUUUCCUGUCUGGUUUAAGCUUCAUGCUGAGAGCUGAGUGAGGCCAGGAGAGAGCUGGCCAGGCCCAGCCCCACACUCUGCCUACCCUUAGCCAGCCAGCCUCUCCUCUCUCAGAGCUGAGCAUCUGAGUUUGCUCACACAAUGUACUAGGCAGGCGUUAGAGAUCUUGAGAGUAUAGCUAGAACUUCUGGGCCUGAGAGCGGUCUCUCCUUUUCCUCCCCCCCGUCCCCCGUCCCCCGUCCCCCGGCAUGGGACCUCUAGCCUGGCCAGCUCAGCAGCUCUGCAGCAACUCUUCCAAGCAUUUCAGUGUGUUCUUGAGUUUGGCUUGCCUUUUUUAUCUAUUUAGUGUUUGAAUAGUAGCCUCCUAUUCCUUCUGCCUCUGAAUUACACUCCAGCCUCUAGUUUGAGGUGAGUGCAUUGUUUUUUGUUGUUUGUUUGUUUGUUGGCCUUCUAGUCACAGAGAUCCUCCUGCCUCACCUUUCAAAUGCUGAAAUAAUAGGUAUGCUCCGUUCCUGGCUCCUACUUUGACUUUGACUUUUUUCUAGUUAGUUAGUUAGUUAUAGUUUAUUUUAUGUGUAUGAGGUUUUAUUAGCACAUAUAUAUGUGCACUGUGUUCAUCAUGCCCGGUACCAGCCAGAGGAGGUCAGAAGAGACCAUGAGACCCCCUGGAACUGAAGUUAGAGAUGGCUCACAGCCACCUUGUAUAUGAUGGGAACUGAACCCAGGUCCUCAGCAAGAGCAACAAGUACUCUUAACCACUGAGCCAUCUCUCUAGCCCCUUCCUUUUCUCCUUUUUUAGGCAGGGUCUCAUGUAGGCUAGGCUGGCCUCAAACUUGCUCUGUAGCUAAGGAUGACCUUGAACUUCUGAUCGUCAUGUCUACUUCUCCAGAGUGCUAGGAUUUCAAUAUUGUACUGCCCCCUCUUAUUUUAUAUGGUGCUGACAAUCGAGCCCAGAGCUUUGUACACAUUAGGCAAGUGCACUACCAACUGAGCUAUGUCCCCAGCUCCUUAACCCAUUGUGUUGCCUUGAGCCUUCAGCAGGAGGGAAAGAAAAUUGGUGUUCCCUCACUGACUGAGGCAGCCAGUCGCAGCUAGCCUUAGGAGUGGGGUUUUCACUAUUUUUAUUUAGCUCAAAGGUGUGAGCCCUGGGACAAUGACACUGGCUAGAGAGGAGCACGUGCAUGCAAUGCAGGAAGGUGACAAAGCAGAGGGGUAAAGAGGGUGAAGGCUCUGGGGAACCUUGUCUCCCCUGUGUUAGAGCUCGGAUGGAGGAGGCUCAGGGUUGGGGGCAGGGGCGUGAUGAAGACAGGCCCUGAAGACAAGGCCACUCUACAGGAACAGUGUUGUCUAGUUCAAUGUCCUCUUACUUUGACCUUGAGUCUGUCCCUCCAUCUCAAGGCUGGGAGUCCAGGACAGCAUGUCCCCCUGGUUGUGCCUGUAUUGAAGAGGAGGUGUUGGGACAGGAAGGGUGUUCUAUGCUACUUGAAAGCACAGCAUUUGGUCAGGAGCACUAGCUGGCUCCAUCCGCAGACACCUCUGAUCUUAAGCCUCUCAUCCCCUUAGAAGCCUUGGAAGUGCUUUAAGUAGGACUUGAGGAUAGAUUUUUAUGUUAGAGGUGAAGACUGAGAAAGGAACCAGGUCCUCGGUAAGCCAGGCAAGCUCUCUACCAUGGAGCUAGUACCCAGACCUUGAAAUGUACCCCAAUGUCUAUUCUCAUGUACCAAAAGAAAUGACUGCCUUUAGUCAACCUCAAAUAACGUCUCCCUUGCACUGUCCGUGUGGAGGAGGCUUUUCAUCUACCUCCUCUGGCAAGGCAUCAUAAUUCAGAUAGCUGGGAAGUCCCUCAUGACCUAGAUCCACCCUUUCUGAGGCUGAGCUGAUUCUGAUAAACGGUGCCUCUACCCACACCAUCUUUGGUGUGAACAGGAGACUAACCAGGCUCUCUCGUGCAGGAGCCACACCGCUAUAGGCUGGGGCUCCACUCCUCCCGGCCUAGGUCCUGCACAGGCUUAUAGCAGACACGGGUGCCCACUGCUCCUGACUCUGGCCUGCCCAAACGGAGCAGACACCCUGCAGCUCCCAGCAUGCGUGCAGGCAGUGACUUCACAGACUCACAUUCUCUUUGCCUCUCCCAACUUAUGUGCUCAGCCUGGUUCUAAGGGCUAGACGCGCUCUCAGUUUGGGUGGGGCUGUCUCUCUCAUGUUCUCUAUGAAAAUUUGUCUGAGGGCGAAAUUUCCCCGAGAAUUUCUCGGGAAACCCCUUUUCCUGUGUUUUCUGAAUAGCCUUCUUGCCAAGUCCUCCUUCCCUCUCCAGGAGGCUGUGUAAGUAUUUGAGAAGCCACUGUGGAGUUCGGGGCCCAAAACAUUUUUCUGGGCUGGACAAGUCUUUGUGUGAAGUUAAAGCUGCUGAGAUCAGGGCUGGGAAGCCUCUCUGGGGUGGAAAGAAUGAAGUGGAAAGCCCAAAAUUGGGAAUUGGCAGGGCUCCCAGACCCACAUGGCUUUCCUGCGCAACACCACAUGUCAGAGAGGAUUCCCAAGGCUACCCAGGCUAACAUCCAGGGCCCGCCCUGGCCUCCUGCGGAGCUCUCUGGGAACCUGGGCAGCCACUUGACUUCUUAAGGAAGCUUUUGUACAGUCUGUGUGACUGAAGGUGGGGCCUGAAGGUGGCAAAUAGCUAAUGGGUGUGGGGCAGGUGAAAUGGCUCAGUGAGGAAGGGUCCCUGCUGCCAGAUCUGAUGAUCUGAGUUUGAUCCCCCAGACCAUACAUAGUGAAAAGGAAAAAACAAAUUUCUACACGUGUCUCGAGCACUCAAGGGUGCACGCAUGCGUGUGUGCGCUUGUGUGUGAAAGAAAAAGGCAAGAGAGGAGCAAGCAUGUCCCUUUGAGGAAACAUCUAGGUGAGGGCAAGUCCCACCUUUUUAUAUGAUCUAGAAUGUAUUUUGUUUUGUUUGUUUGAGUCCAGAAAAGGUCAUAGGAGCCUUUAGUGAGCUCAAACUUAGUGAGCGCAGGCUUCAUGAAUGGGCUCUGAUGAACCUGAUGCGCCAUCCCUGAGGACAGGAAAAAGGCAGGAUCCCACAGAGGCAGCCCUGGCUUGCUCAGAGGUACACAAGUGACUGUGUAAACACUCUGGCAUAAGAAAUAAGAUGGCCAUUUGCCUGGAAGUACCAGCAAACAGGGUAAGUUGGUCACUUAGAAGGGAGCCUCCGUUGAGCCCUACUGUUCUCGUGUCCCAAAAUCCUUUGGGCAGAGGUUGGCAACCAGCUACCUCCUGUGGGUGAUACAGACCCUGCCCCUGCUAAUGCAAGGAGCCUGUGACCUCUUCAAGCCUUAGUUGCCUUGAGCAUCAAAUUGGGUUCAUGAUAACUUCCUCCACUGGCUACAGAUGUUUGAACGAGAAGCGAAGUGAGCCUGCUGCAGUGCCUGCCACACAGCAAUCACUUGAACAUUAGCAACGUUGUUCAUUACUCAUCCACUGGGUUCCUUCACCAGGCUUGAGUGUGUGCCUUGUGCCAGGUACUGCUGCUAUAGGCCUUAAGAACAAAGCCAAGCACCCUGCUCUGGAAGGAGGUGAGCAAGCAAUGGAUGAAUAAGGUCUCCGCAAGUAAGGGAUGAGAAGACCUUAGAGGGAAGCUGUACAACAGACUGGAAAAUGGCACACACAUUUCCUUGCUUUGUGUGAAGCUCAGUGGAGUAUCCCUGCCCCGGAUUCUGAGUGUCCUUGGCUGUCGACCUGUUUUCAAGACAAAGAGUGCCCCACCCUACCUGUGGGGGAACCCAUUGAAUGGGCAGCCAACGGCAUCCAGUGCCAAAGCCAUCCAGUGCCAAAGCCAAAGCCAAAGCCAAAAAAAAAUCUAAUUUGUCGCAAAUAUGUGAACAACUUAAUGAAUACCAACUUGGAUUGACUGCUAGGCGGGCUUUCCCUACCACCUCUGACUCCAGACGAGGGGCCAGGAUUCUCAGGAAGCUACUGAGUAUAAUUCUGCCUCCCCACCCCCAUGCUGGGAGAGAAAGGGAGAGGAAGGGAGAGAGAGGUGUUAGGGUUACAUGUUCUGUUUUAGUGGGGAAAAUGCUGGUCGUCAUUAACUGUAUAGUAUCUAGAAACUUCGUAACCUUGCUUGGCUCUUAUUCAGCCUGAGCUGCAAUACUUUGUCUAGUUGAUACCAAGUACUUAGCCACUGAGUAAAGCAGCUUGCUGGGGGUUGCAUGAGAAAUGGAAAGGCAGGGAUGAUACAACUAAGGCUACCUUGCCUUGAGAGUUCUACUUCAGUGAUCUACAGCUCCUAGAA
This is a long non-coding RNA of Mus musculus (house mouse), 10085 nucleotides long. RefSeq annotates it as predicted gene, 53476. The record is from RefSeq and is a predicted model, not a curated record. NCBI's taxonomy places the organism in Eukaryota, Metazoa, Chordata, Mammalia, Rodentia, Muridae. The transcript has 2 exons.